Molecule: ribosomal RNA, 209 nt
Filed under: uncultured bacterium
Lineage: Bacteria
Description: partial 16S ribosomal RNA
Rfam family: Bacterial small subunit ribosomal RNA
Source: RNAcentral
CUCGUAGGCGGUUCAGUAAGUCGGGUGUGAAAACUUUGGGCUUAACCCAAAGCGUGCAUCCGAUACUGCUGUGACUUGAGUUCGGUAGGGGAGUGGGGAAUUCCUAGUGUAGCGGUGAAAUGCGCAGAUAUUAGGAGGAACACCGGUGGCGAAGGCGCCACUCUGGGCCGAAACUGACGCUGAGGAGCGAAAGCAUGGGUAACAAAACA